GACUAUAAUAAUGACACAGCUCAAAAUACCCCGAGGGCAUAAGGGAAGCAGGUGGUGUCCUGAACAACUGCUGUCUGCUUGCACUUCACCCAACUUCUUGUUAAACCCAGAGGUUCUCAGACUCUUACGGGAGAAGGCUCUUGGUAGGACCUCUGCAUUUCCUCCCUCCCUUCUCUUCCUCCCCCCCCCUUCCCCUUGCUCUAUUUAAAACAAUUCUAUAAAACUAUCAAACAGGAUUUGUGAAAACACGGGUGCCCUUUAGAUGGAAUGCUAAUGAUAGAGCUGAUUUAUUUUUAAUGUGAUAGGUCUAUUAUUUUUGCCAAACCAUGGAAGAAUCCAAACACGCACGAAUCCAGACCGGCCGCCACUUAGAAGGCAUUGCCAACUUCUCGCCAUCCCUGGGCGGCACCUUGAGAAUUGCUGUGAUAAUUACCUAGUGCAGUGCUUCUUAACCCUGGUUGCAUAUUAAAAUCACCUGGGAAGAUUUUAAAGCCUUCUCACUCCAGACCAAUUAAAUCAGAAGCUCUAGGGACAGGACGUAGGCAUCUGCAAUUUGUCAGAGAUCCUCAGGUAAUUCUAACCUGCAGCCAGGGCUGAGAACCAGUGGCUUAAUGUCAUGUUGCGUUACUGUUGGAGUCGGGACACUGUGGUAACAAGAGGCAGAAGUGAGCGCCCAUCUCUGCCCCUCAUAGCCCUCUGCUUUUUGUCUGAUUGGAGUUAUAUAAAGCCUAAGUGGAACUAAGAUUAAGCCUGGUAAUUGUCAUGGCAAUGCCCUAGAUUUUUCUAUCAAAUCCAAUCUUAUUUGUGAUGGGAGACGCAGAAGUGACUCUAGUGAUGUUAAAAUAUUUCUGCUGCUAUUUAGAAUAUUCAGCAUUAAACUCGAUAGAGUUUUUCCAUAAAAUUUCAAACAUGAAAACUUUUAGAAACAGCAGAUCUCACCUGAAUAAAAAAAAAAAUUAUCAUUAAUUGUAAAGUGUGCUUGAUCACAGAGAAUUAUCUAGGCAAUCAGCGUCAUGUAUAGCCUUUAAUGCCUCCUGUCUGCUGAAUGUGAGUUCUGCAUGUUGAGCACAAAUUUGCAAAUUUCUCUAGCUUAUGCCUCAUCACUCCCUUCUUUGAUUAAAUAUAAAGUAAGUGGGAUUUGAAAAUCGUAAAGCUGGGAGGGACCUGUGGAAACCAUUUUGUCCAACCCCGUUGCUUUGCAAGUGUAUGCCAAACCCAGGAAGAGAGUCAGGCUACUACUUUGGUCUUCUGUUAAAUUCAUGAAUGCUCUGGUAUGGAUGACUGAGGCCUCUUUCUAACUGGCUCUCCCUUUCCUGCCCUCCUUUUUCUCCACAUUGCUGUCAGAGUGGUGGUUCUAAACACAAAUCCAAUCAAGUCACUCCUUUUCUUGCUUAACCUUCUUGAAUGACUUUGCAUUUGCCUCAGGUCCAAAUUCAAACUCCUUAGACUCCCAUACAUUCCCUUGUGAAUUGAUCUGACACCAUCUCCCCUCUGAAGAGUCAUCUCUGGGAGCCUCUGUUUCUCACUCCAAACUGCAGUCACACCAGAGUUCUAAAUGUCUGAAUGCAGUCUCCGAAUGUGUCCUAUAGGCCACUGUGGGUUGGCACGUGCUGUCCUUUCUCCCUGCAGUGCUCUCUCUACCCCUCUGUAAGGAGACCCUUCCUCUGUUCUUCCAUUUGUGUAGUUCAUAUCAGCUUUGUAAGGAGCAGGGAGCAGAGAAACCAGAAAUUGCAGCACAAGGUGUGGAAAGUGGGAGAGGACUUACUGAAAUGACAGAAGUUUGGAUGGAUGGAAUUUACUUCCUGAAAUAGAAGGCCUUCUUAACUGUUUUUAUAUAAAGAGCUUCAAAGUUCCAUAGGAGACCAAGGUCAAGUGGAUUGAGAAUGGAACUCUCUGAGGUGGUGGUGGUCGUGGUGGUAUUUCAGUAGCCCUAAGUAGACAGAGAAUGGUUUCUUUUCUUUCUUUCUUCCUAUCUAUCAAUUGUCUUCAUCUGGUUUUAGUUGGAUUUCAGGUGCAGGCAUUUAAAUUAACCAUACCCUUCAGUUUAUGGCAUAUUAUUAGCAUUGGUCUACACAAAGAUACUAUUUAAUUUAGUUUUUCUUUUUUCUUUUUUUAUUAACAUUAAAAAAAUUAAGUUAUUUUAUUUUUUUAAAAAAAUUUUAAAUGUUUUUAUUUAUUUUUGAGACAGAGAGAGACAGAGCAUGAGCAGGGGAGGGGCAGAGAGAGAGGGAGACACAGAAUCCGAAGCAGGCUCCAGACUCCGAGCUGUCAGCACGGAGCCCGACGUGGGGCUCGAACUCAUGGACCGUGAGAUUAUGACCUGAGCUGCAGCUGGAUGCUUAACCAACUGAGCCACCCAGGUGUCCCAAAAUUUAAGUUUUUAAAAAUUUUUACUUAAAGACAGAGAUAGCAAGUGGGGUAGGGGCAGAGAGAGAGAGAGAGAGAGAGAGAAUCCCAAGCAGGCUUCACUCUGUCAGUGUGGAGCCUGUCUUGGGGGCUUAAUCCCAUGAACUGUGAGACAAUAACCCGAGUCAAAAUCAAGAGCUGGACACUUAACCAACUGAGCCACCCAGACGUGUGCCUUACUAACAUUUUAAAAUACACGUUCCUUCCUCCUAUUCCCCUCCUACCACAUAGGAAACUGUUCCAAUGUAUUUUUUUAAUGUGCAUCUUUUAGUUUGUAUGUGUUCUUUGAUGGUCCAUAUAAAAAUGUAGUUUUAAUGGUACUGUGUUCUAUACUUCAUUCUAUAUCCUUUUUUCACUAUAUUUUUAAUAUUAUACAUGUUUCCAUGUGUAUUUCAAGUGUGUAGGCUUCUAAGUGCUUCCUCAGUCACAGGUAAUGAGCACCUAGCUAGUCUCCAAUGUUCUGUCCCUAUGAACAACUUCGAAUUGUAUAACUUCUUGUAUGUCCCGUUAUAGAUGUAUGUGAGACUGUCUUUGUGAUAGGUCCUCAGGAAGGGGUUCUAGUUAUGUUCACACUUAAUCUGACCAAAUGGUGCUUUCAAUUUGCCGGGUUGCACCAGUCUACAUGCCCACCAGCAGAGCAUGAUAUUGUCAUCUCUCCACCAACACCUGGCAUGACCCAGCUUUCCAAUAUCUGCCCAUAAAAUAGAAGGAAGAGAAUGUCUCGUUUUGGUUUUGUUAUUUUAAAGAGACUUUAUUUUUUAUUUAUUGUAUUUAAAAAAUAGUUAAUGUUAAUCUUUGAGGCAGAGAGAGACCGAGUAUGAGCAGGGGAGGGGCAGGGAGCAAGGGAGACACAGAAUCUGAAGCAGGUUCCAGGCUCGGAGCCGUCAGCACAGAGCCCGACUUGGGGCUCGAACCCACGAGCUAUGAACAGAAGUCAGACGCUCAAGUGACUGAGCCACCCAGGCACCCCUAGACUUUAUUUUUUAGAGACAUUUUAGGUUCAUAGUAAAAUUGAGGGAAAAGUAAAAAGAAUUCCCAUAUAUAACCCUGUCCCCCAUGAGCCUUCUCCACUAUCAACAUCCUGCACAAGAGUGGUUGGUACAUUUGUUACAAUUAAUGAAGCUACAGUGACACAUAAUAGCCACUCAAAGUUCAAGUGUACAUUAGGGUUCACUGUUGGUGUUGUAGAUUCUGUGGAUUUUGACAAACAUAUAACGACAUAUAUCCACCAUUAUAGCAUCAUACAGAAUACUUUUACUGCCCUAAGAAUCUUCUUGCUCUCUGAUUCAUCCUUCCUCCCUCCCUAACCUCUGGCAACCACUGAUUUCUUUUUAUUUUUUAAUUUUUUUCCUGUCUCUUGCUUUGCCCAGAAUGUCAUAUACUUAGAGUCAUACAGUAAGUACCCUUUUCAGAUUGACCUUUUCCGUUUUGUAAUAUGUGUUUAAGAUACCUCUGUCAUCUCGUGGCUUAACGGCUGACUUCUUUUUAGCAAUGAGUAAUAUUCCAUUGUCUUGAGGUACCACAGUUUAUCCGUUUGCCUACUGAAGGGCAUCUUGGUUGUGGCCGUUGAAAAUAAAGCUACUAUAAAUAUCUGGGUGCAGGUUUUUCGUACAUUUUCAACUCAUUUGAAUAAAUACCAAGAAGGGCCAUUGUUGGAUUACAUGGUAAGAGCAUGUUUAGUUUUGUAAGAAACCGCUGAACUGUCUUCCCCAGAAGUUCUUCCAGUUUGCAUUCCAGCAGUAUUGAAUGAGAGUUCCCAUUGUUCCACAUCCUCAUGAGAGUGUUUGGGAUUUCAGCGUUGAGGAUUUUGGCUAUUCCAAUAAGUGUUCGUGGUAUCUGAUUGUUGUUUCAGUUUGCAUUUCUCUAAUGACACAUGAUGUGGAGCCUCCUUUCGAAUGCUCAUCUGCUGACCGUGUAUCAUCUUAGCUCACAAAAUUCCUGAAGAUUUAACAGUCAGCUCUUACGAGCUGCCAUGAGCCAGCUGCAGCACACCAGCCUUGUGGGAAUAGAGAAAAUUGGACCUAUUAUUUACAAAACUAGAGCCUUAUAUCAUGAUUAGCAAACACCCCUGGUCUGGGGAUCAGUGAAUCUUCGUGGGGAUCUGCAGAAGGUGCAGCUGUUGGAAACUCCCCGGCUGCUUCACAGUCGUGAGGUGAGCUAGCAGGUUUUGUGACUGUAAAACUGAUGCCUGUGAAAUGGAUCAAAGUUAACUUUGACAAAGGUCAGGAAACAGAUGAAAAAUAAAGGAAAGAAGAAAAAGAAGGAAACCUGCAGUGGAUGUUUGGGGUAUAGAAAGGAACAGUCCCAAGGAGUGUAAAAGGAGUAUAAAAAUGUCAUUUGUGUAUUAUUGUUGGAAACUUGUCACCGCAUCUAUGAAGCUGAGGAGUGUAACUGGCAUUGGAACAGGUAGGAGUGAAUAAAGGGGACACUGAUGAGCCACUGUUCACGUUUUGACUGUCUGUUCUGGAACAACUAACCCUUGGGGUGCCUGGGUGGCUGAAUCAGUUAAGUGUCCGACUCUUGAUUUCAGCUCAGGUCAUGAUCUCAGGGUUCUACUCUAAUCUCAGGUCAUGAUCUCAGGUUCUCCACCCUCUCAAAACAAACAAACAAACAAACAAACCGACCUAAACACACACACACACACACACACACACACACACACACACAACUAAUUCUUCUUCUGUAAGGAUGAGACAAAAAUUUCCAGAUACAUUAAGGAAUUCAGUAGUUCAAAUGGGGAGGAUCAGACAUGAGCAUUCAGAUACAAUAAUCUCUAGUAAAACAGACCUCCUGUAGAAUAAAGGGAAGAACUUUGGGGUUGGGGGAGGUCAUUUUCUUAAUUAGAUUCACAAGGAUCCUUUUUUGAGCUUCUUAAGUGCGAACUUCCACAAAAACAUGUUGAGACACAAAAAACAAAUCUUGGCAAUAAAAAGAAGAGUGGGUACAGGACACUCUUCCAGAAUAUGCAGAGCAUAACCUUUAAGAUUGGGGAAUUCAAGAAAGAAAAUUCAAGAGGCAGGAAAUGUUGAAGUGUAAGAAGUAGUACCAUGAUUUUGUGGGUUCCGGAAGGAGAAAAUAGUGGCUGAAUGAGAAGUAAUAAUCAAGUAAACAAAAGAAGGCAGCUUCUCUGAAUUGAAACAGUCAGCCUUUUAUAUGAAGCAGGGUUAGCGUAGACUUAGGGGGUAUGAAAGGAGUCAGGUGGAAGCAGUCAGCUGGGAGAAAAAAGUCACCAAAGCAGGGGUGGGGGUGGAGUUUGAAUGACAUUAGACUUCUUAUUUGCAACAUCAACGUUAGAAAACCUUAGAGAAAAUGUAUAGAUUUCUGGGAAAAAAGUGUUAGGUUUCAAGAAUUAUAUUCCAAGCCAAGCUCUUGUCUAAAUGCAAAGGCAAAUGAAAGCCUGGCUCAGAUUUAAAAGAAUUCAGAAAUUAGAUGACCUGUGUAUGCUUUUGGAAAAACAGAACUUAAAGUAGACCUUCAAGCAAAAAUUAAUCAAAAUAAAGAAUUUAAUAAAGACACAGACAUGUUUUAGGAAAAAAAGAGCAGUGAGCAAGAAAAACGUAGAUGAAAAUCUAGAGGAUCGCUUGUAAUGUGGUUGUGAAAUUAUGUACAGUUUAUAACAAAGAAUUUUAAACAGAAAAAUGUAUAUAAUUUUAAAAACCUCCUAAAGAUGGGGGAGGGGGAGAAAGAGAGAGAGGUGGAGAAGGAGAGAGUAAAGUGUGAUGAAGUUUUUAUUGUCGAACCAGGAGGGUCUGUAUCGGUAACUUCAUUCUUGACAUUAAUGGAGAAUAAAUUAAAACACAUUUAAAAACAUUAAACAAAACCAAUUUAAACUGAGGCCAUUGGAAAAGAAAGAAAAAAAGGGAAGCAUUAUUAUUUCAAAGGAUGGCAAAGUGUGUAUGUGUGUGUGACAGAGAGAGAGAGAGGGAGAGAGAGAGAGAGAGAGAGAGAGAGAGAGAAUGAGAGCAUGAGACCGAGAUUUAGAGAAAUACCAAUUAGGUUUCUCUAUUACAACUUCAAGGCCAUGAUGGAAGAACGGAUUUACCUUUCUGUAAAACUGAACAAAACAUGUGAGGUGACUACUUUUAGGCACUGGAAAAUAGUGCAGGACUCCAGUCUCAGCAAGACAGGAAAUAAAUGAGGUGAGCACCACAUCCAACCUGAUUUUAUGUCUGGGGGCGCUUUGCUGAACUGGCACUAAGUGAAGAGCCCAGGUGAAGAACAUCAAGUUGUACUGAGCCGAGGAGACAGAAAUGGCAGUAGAGGGCAUGAAGAGGCAGUUGGGAUUCACAGGAUAGAAUUCCAGAGACAAAUGAGCUCUGCAGAAGGGAAAUGUCAGAAGUCUGUGUGGAGAUUCUUCUUACCUCUGGCUAAGAGCUGCUCUGGGCUUUGCCUGUAUGGGGUAAGAUUCUGUAAGACCUCUUGAUUCUGCAAGACCACAGCUACUGUGGCACUAAGAAAUGAAUGGAAAUGCCAAAAGUCACGUAGUGCUAAAAUAUAUUGGAGUUUUGACCCAACGAUGGCGGAAAGACUUCAUUGAGCACACGGGGCAUUCGACUGAGACCCCAGGAA
This is a long non-coding RNA of Panthera uncia (snow leopard), 6975 nucleotides long. RefSeq lists it as uncharacterized. NCBI's taxonomy places the organism in Eukaryota, Metazoa, Chordata, Mammalia, Carnivora, Felidae. The record is from RefSeq and is a predicted model, not a curated record. The transcript has 5 exons.